ACGUAGGUGGCAAGCGUUGUCCGGAAUUAUUGGGCGUAAAGCGCGCGCAGGCGGUCCUUUAAGUCUGACGGUGAAAUGCCGGGGCUCAACCCCGUGCCCGCCGCGGAUACUGGAGGGCUGGAGACACGUAGAGGCAAGCGGAAUUCCGGGUGUAGCGGUGGAAUGCGUAGAGAUCCGGAAGAACACCGGAGGCGAAGGCGGCUUGCUGGGCGUUGUCUGACGCUGAGGCGCAAAAGCGUGGGGAGCGAACAGGA
Molecule: ribosomal RNA, 254 nt
Filed under: uncultured prokaryote
Description: partial 16S ribosomal RNA
Rfam family: Bacterial small subunit ribosomal RNA
Source: RNAcentral